GCAAGCAUAGUUUAGACCCAAACAUCAGACUGUGAUCCUGAAAAUAGAAGUUAAACCCUUCUUGCUCGCC
RNAcentral lists this transfer RNA (70 nucleotides) under Falco tinnunculus (common kestrel). Its description in RNAcentral is "tRNA-His". It matches the Rfam family "tRNA". Rfam says of the family: Transfer RNA (tRNA) molecules are approximately 80 nucleotides in length. Their secondary structure includes four short double-helical elements and three loops (D, anti-codon, and T loops). The record is from RNAcentral. Lineage: Eukaryota; Metazoa; Chordata; Aves; Falconiformes; Falconidae. RNAcentral also lists the same sequence under 1 other name.